RNAcentral lists this ribosomal RNA (478 nucleotides) under uncultured bacterium. RNAcentral's name for it is "partial 16S ribosomal RNA". It matches the Rfam family "Bacterial small subunit ribosomal RNA", at positions 28 to 507 of the family's 1533-position model. The record is from RNAcentral.
GAUGAACGCUGGCGGCGUGCCUAACACAUGCAAGUCGAACGGAGUCCAGCCUUUAAGACCUUCGGGUCAAAGAGGGGAAGACUGAGUGGCGGACGGGUGAGUAACACGUGGGCAACCUGGCUCAUAGAGGGGGAUAACAGAGAGAAAUUUCUGCUAAUACCGCAUAAGCACACCCUGCCGCAUGGCAGAGGGUGAAAAGAGAAUCGCUAUGAGAUGGACCCGCGUCUGAUUAGCCAGUUGGCAGGGUAAGAGCCUACCAAAGCGACGAUCAGUAGCCGAUCUGAGAGGAUGAACGGCCACAUUGGGACUGAGACACGGCCCAAACUCCUACGGGAGGCAGCAGUGGGGGAUAUUGCACAAUGGGGGGAACCCUGAUGCAGCGACGCCGCGUGAGUGAAGAAGUAUUUCGGUAUGUAAAGCUCUAUCAGCAGGGAAGAUAAUGACAGUACCUGAAGAAGAAGCCCCGGCUAACUACGUG